AGUGGCGGACGGGUGAGUAACGCGUGGUAACCUGCCUCAUACAGGGGGAUAACAGUUAGAAAUGACUGACUAACACCGCAUAAUAUAGUGAAACCGCAUGAUUUUUGCUAUCAAAUAUUUAUAGGUAUGAGAUGGGCCCGCGUCUGAUUAGCUAGUUGGUGGGUAAAAGCCUACCAAGGCGACGAUCAGUAGCCGGCUUGAGAGAGUGACCGGCCACAUUGGGACUGAGACACGGCCCAAACUCCUACGGGAGGCAGCAGUGGGGAAUAUUGGACAAUGGGGGAAACCCUGAUCCAGCGAACCGCCGCGUGAGUGAAGAAGUAUUUCGGUAUGUAAAGCUCUAUCAGCAGGGAAGAUAAUGACAGUACCUGACUAAGAAGCCCCGGCUAACUACGUGCCAGCAGCCGC
This 408-nucleotide ribosomal RNA is filed under the name uncultured bacterium. Its description in RNAcentral is "bacterial SSU rRNA". It matches the Rfam family "Bacterial small subunit ribosomal RNA", at positions 94 to 518 of the family's 1533-position model. The record is from RNAcentral.